UUCAUACUUGCUUUCUGGCUCCAUUGUUCAACUGCAAUUCCAGAGUUCAAAUUUCAUAACCUAUUUUCAAACUAUUUCUUUCACAUUGUUUUCCCCUUCUGAUUUGGCUUCACACAACUCGGAUAUGAGAUUUCAAGGAUUUCAAUUUUCAAGCAAGAAAAUUGUUGCUAAAGAUACAGAAAUCUCCAAGUUCAACAUGUUUUUCCUGAUCCGGUAAGAUUUCUUUUCAAGGUAUAAUUUCUUUUCUUUUAGGAUGCUUAAAAUAUGCAUUAAUUGUGUUAUAUAUCUCCUUCUUCCCCCUUCUUUUUUAGGGUUCUGUAUGGUACGUCAGUACGCCACUUUUCAGGAUCUGGAUUGCAAACAAACUAUUAUCUGGUACGAGGGAUCUGGAUUGUGGUCAGAUGGGGGUUGGGAGAAUUUGGCAACAAUGGGGAGGACAAGGAGUCCUCCCUAAGAGGCACAAAAGGAAAACAAAUAGCACUUUAACAAUUCCAAUCUCUACACAAUUCUGAUAUGGCUAUUCCCCAGAUAUCUCCCAUGGAAGAAGCCCACAACGAAGAAAUGAUAAAACUCUAUCCCUCAAUAAAUGGAAUGGCANNN
This 600-nucleotide long non-coding RNA is filed under the name Panax ginseng (ginseng). Its description in RNAcentral is "long non-coding RNA (PGIN_LNC010627)". The record is from RNAcentral. Lineage: Eukaryota; Viridiplantae; Streptophyta; Magnoliopsida; Apiales; Araliaceae.